GAUGAACGCUGGCGGCGUGCCUAAUACAUGCAAGUCGAGCGAACGGACGAGAAGCUUGCUUCUCUGAUGUUAGCGGCGGACGGGUGAGUAACACGUGGAUAACCUACCUAUAAGACUGGGAUAACUUCGGGAAACCGGAGCUAAUACCGGAUAAUAUUUUGAACCGCAUGGUUCAAAAGUGAAAGACGGUCUUGCUGUCACUUAUAGAUGGAUCCGCGCUGCAUUAGCUAGUUGGUAAGGUAACGGCUUACCAAGGCAACGAUGCAUAGCCGACCUGAGAGGGUGAUCGGCCACACUGGAACUGAGACACGGUCCAGACUCCUACGGGAGGCAGCAGUAGGGAAUCUUCCGCAAUGGGCGAAAGCCUGACGGAGCAACGCCGCGUGAGUGAUGAAGGUCUUCGGAUCGUAAAACUCUGUUAUUAGGGAAGAACAUAUGUGUAAGUAACUGUGCACAUCUUGACGGUACCUAAUCAGAAAGCCACGGCUAACUACGUGCCAGCAGCCGCGGUAAUACGUAGGUGGCAAGCGUUAUCCGGAAUUAUUGGGCGUAAAGCGCGCGUAGGCGGUUUUUUAAGUCUGAUGUGAAAGCCCACGGCUCAACCGUGGAGGGUCAUUGGAAACUGGAAAACUUGAGUGCAGAAGAGGAAAGUGGAAUUCCAUGUGUAGCGGUGAAAUGCGCAGAGAUAUGGAGGAACACCAGUGGCGAAGGCGACUUUCUGGUCUGUAACUAACGCUGAUGUGCGAAAGCGUGGGGAUCAAACAGGAUUAGAUACCCUGGUAGUCCACGCCGUAAACGAUGAGUGCUAAGUGUUAGGGGGUUUCCGCCCCUUAGUGCUGCAGCUAACGCAUUAAGCACUCCGCCUGGGGAGUACGACCGCAAGGUUGAAACUCAAAGGAAUUGACGGGGACCCGCACAAGCGGUGGAGCAUGUGGUUUAAUUCGAAGCAACGCGAAGAACCUUACCAAAUCUUGACAUCCUUUGACAACUCUAGAGAUAGAGCCUUCCCCUUCGGGGGGCAAAGUGACAGGUGGUGCAUGGUUGUCGUCAGCUCGUGUCGUGAGAUGUUGGGUUAAGUCCCGCAACGAGCGCAACCCUUAAGCUUGGUUGCCAUCAUUAAGUUGGGCACUCUAAGUUGACUGCCGGUGACAAACCGGAGGAAGGUGGGGAUGACGUCAAAUCAUCAUGCCCCUUAUGAUUUGGGCUACACACGUGCUACAAUGGACAAUACAAGGGGCAGCGAAACCGCGAGGUCAAGCAAAUCCCAUAAAGUUGUUCUCAGUUCGGAUUGUAGUCUGCAACUCGACUACAUGAAGCUGGAAUCGCUAGUAAUCGUAGAUCAGCAUGCUACGGUGAAUACGUUCCCGGGUCU
RNAcentral lists this ribosomal RNA (1372 nucleotides) under uncultured bacterium. RNAcentral's name for it is "bacterial SSU rRNA". It matches the Rfam family "Bacterial small subunit ribosomal RNA", at positions 28 to 1381 of the family's 1533-position model. The record is from RNAcentral.